Molecule: ribosomal RNA, 229 nt
Filed under: uncultured bacterium
Lineage: Bacteria
Description: partial 16S ribosomal RNA
Rfam family: Bacterial small subunit ribosomal RNA
Source: RNAcentral
CGCGCAGGCGGAACUUUAAGUCAGUGGUGAAAUCUUGCCGCUUAACGGUAAAAUUGCCAUUGAUACUGAAGUUCUUGAAUAUGGUUGAGGUAGGCGGAAUGUGUUGUGUAGCGGUGAAAUGCAUAGAUAUGACACAGAACUCCGAUUGCGAAGGCAGCUUACUAAACCAUUAUUGACGCUGAGGCACGAAAGCGUGGGGAGCGAACAGGAUUAGAUACCCUGGUAGUCC